CAGCACCUAGAAAGUUAAGACCAUUUAUUUAGUUAGUUCAUAAACACUUAGACAGUGCUUGCUAUGUGCCAGGAAUUGUUCUAGGUGCUUUG
This 92-nucleotide microRNA precursor is filed under the name Chlorocebus sabaeus (green monkey). RNAcentral's name for it is "miRNA (ENSCSAG00000021999.1)". Lineage: Eukaryota; Metazoa; Chordata; Mammalia; Primates; Cercopithecidae. The record is from RNAcentral.